GUCUCGGUAGCUCAGUGGGCAGAGCGAUGGGCUAGUGAUCUAGUGACGCGAGUUCGAACUCGCCCGAGACA
This is a non-coding RNA of Cydia splendana, 71 nucleotides long. The record is from the annotation of a RefSeq genome assembly. NCBI's taxonomy places the organism in Eukaryota, Metazoa, Arthropoda, Insecta, Lepidoptera, Tortricidae.